AGUGAACGCUGGCGGCGUGCUUAACACAUGCAAGUCGAACGAGAACGGAUUAUAGCUUGCUAUAAUUGUCAGCUAAGUGGCGCACGGGUGAGUAACGUAUAGGUAAUAUGCCUCUUACUAAGGGAUAACAAAUGGAAACGUUUGCUAAUACCUUAUACUCCUUAUUAACAGAAGUUAAUAAGGGAAAGAUUUAUUGGUAAGAGAUUAGCCUGUAUUGUAUCAGUUAGUUGGUGGGGUAAUGGCUUACCAAGACUAUGACACAUAACUGGUUUGAGAGGAUGAUCAGUCACACUGGAACUGAGACACGGUCCAGACUCCUACGGGAGGCAGCUGUGGGGAAUAUUGCACAAUGGACGAAAGUCUGAUGCAGCAACGCCGCGUGGAGGAUGACACAUUUCGGUGCGUAAACUCCUUUUAUAUGAGAAGAUAAUGACGGUAUUAUAUGAAUAAGCACCGGCUAACUCCGUGCCAGCAGCCGCCGCAG
RNAcentral lists this ribosomal RNA (484 nucleotides) under uncultured bacterium. RNAcentral describes it as "partial 16S ribosomal RNA". It matches the Rfam family "Bacterial small subunit ribosomal RNA", at positions 29 to 523 of the family's 1533-position model. The record is from RNAcentral.